GGAUGUGAGGGCAAUCUAGCUGCAACAUCUGUUAGCCCAUUGAUUGCCAGUGUUGAUUCAGCUGAUCUGGCUGGCUGGGCAGGAGUCCCCCACCUUCCUCCCUCACUGCUCCAUGUGUCUCCCUCCUGAAGCUGUGCACUGAGUUAAAGAGGGUGACCAACCCCAAGAGAGGAAAACCAUUUCCUUGGCCAAGGAUAUACACGUAGCUGUGCUUUCUUGCUUAGAAUCUCCAAGCAAGCUCUCAAGAAUUGUUGGUAUUUUGAUUGGUAUUGUGUUAUAUCUAUAUAUUACUUUAGGAAGUGUAGCCAUUU
Fukomys damarensis (Damara mole-rat) is the source of this 311-nucleotide unclassified non-coding RNA. Its record names the gene 7SK. It matches the Rfam family "7SK RNA". Rfam says of the family: 7SK was discovered as an abundant small nuclear RNA in the mid-70s but a possible function has only recently been suggested. Two independent studies have found that 7SK RNA binds the CDK9/cyclin T complex (known as elongation factor P-TEFb). The record is from Ensembl. NCBI's taxonomy places the organism in Eukaryota, Metazoa, Chordata, Mammalia, Rodentia, Bathyergidae.